UAACCUAGUCCCAUGGCCCCACCA
RNAcentral lists this non-coding RNA (24 nucleotides) under Mus musculus (house mouse). Lineage: Eukaryota; Metazoa; Chordata; Mammalia; Rodentia; Muridae. The record is from RNAcentral.